GGACCCGCACAAGCGGUGGAUGAUGUGGAUUAAUUCGAUGCAACGCGAAAAACCUUACCUACCCUUGACAUGUCAGGAAUUUUGCAGAGAUGCGAAAGUGCUCGAAAGAGAACCUGAACACAGGUGCUGCAUGGCUGUCGUCAGCUCGUGUCGUGAGAUGUUGGGUUAAGUCCCGCAACGAGCGCAACCCUUGUCAUUAGUUGCUACGCAAGGGCACUCUAAUGAGACUGCCGGUGACAAACCGGAGGAAGGUGGGGACGACGUCAAGUCCUCAUGGCCCUUAUGGGUAGGGCUUCACACGUCAUACAAUGGUUGGUACAGAGGGUUGCAAACCCGUGAGGGGAAGCUAAUCCCGAAAAACCAAUCGUAGUCCGGAUUGCAGUCUGCAACUCGACUGCAUGAAGUCGGAAUCGCUAGUAAUCGCGGAUC
RNAcentral lists this ribosomal RNA (429 nucleotides) under uncultured bacterium. Its description in RNAcentral is "bacterial SSU rRNA". It matches the Rfam family "Bacterial small subunit ribosomal RNA", at positions 917 to 1350 of the family's 1533-position model. The record is from RNAcentral.